UAUCAGGAGUUGAACGGUAAAGCUAGAGAUGCAGUUAUUGUGUUGAUUGAACAAGAACGUGAGGGUGAGCAGAUCGACAGGGGUCUACUGAAGAAUGUGCUCGACAUAUUUGUUGGAAUUGGCAUGGGGGAAAUGGAGUAUUAUGAGAAUGAUUUUGAAGAAGCGAUGCUUAAAGAUACUGCAGCUUAUUAUUCUCGGAAAGCUUCAAGUUGGAUUGUGG
This 220-nucleotide unclassified non-coding RNA is filed under the name Hevea brasiliensis (rubber tree). The record is from RNAcentral. Lineage: Eukaryota; Viridiplantae; Streptophyta; Magnoliopsida; Malpighiales; Euphorbiaceae.